GGUGUAGGCGCAGCGAAAGCGAGUCUUAAUAGGGCGUUUAGUCGCUGGGUAUAGACCCGAAACCGGGCGAUCUAUCCAUGAGCAGGUUGAAGGUUAGGUAACACUGACUGGAGGACCGAACCCACUCCCGUUGAAAAGGUAGGGGAUGACUUGUGGAUCGGAGUGAAAGGCUAAUCAAGCUCGGAGAUAGCUGGUUCUCCUCGAAAGCUAUUUAGGUAGCGCCUCAUGUAUCACUCUGGGGGGUAGAGCACUGUUUCGGCUAGGGGGUCAUCCCGACUUACCAAACCGAUGCAAACUCCGAAUACCCAGAAGUGCCGAGCAUGGGAGACACACGGCGGGUGCUAACGUCCGUCGUGAAAAGGGAAACAACCCAGACCGCCAGCUAAGGUCCCAAAGUUGUGGUUAAGUGGUAAACGAUGUGGGAAGGCUUAGACAGCUAGGAGGUUGGCUUAGAAGCAGCCAUCCUUUAAAGAAAGCGUAAUAGCUCACUAGUCGAGUCGGCCUGCGCGGAAGAUGUAACGGGGCUAAAACCAGGCACCGAAGCUACGGGUUCAACUUUGUUGAGCGGUAGAGGAGCGUU
This 580-nucleotide ribosomal RNA is filed under the name Strombidium inclinatum. RNAcentral's name for it is "partial Bacterial large subunit ribosomal RNA". It matches the Rfam family "Bacterial large subunit ribosomal RNA", at positions 659 to 1240 of the family's 2925-position model. The record is from RNAcentral. Lineage: Eukaryota; Ciliophora; Spirotrichea; Strombidiidae.